AUUGAACGCUGGCGGCAGGCUUAACACAUGCAAGUCGAGCGGGGGAAGGUAGCUUGCUACCGGACCUAGCGGCGGACGGGUGAGUAAUGCUUAGGAAUCUGCCUAUUAGUGGGGGACAACAUCUCGAAAGGGAUGCUAAUACCGCAUACGUCCUACGGGAGAAAGCAGGGGAUCUUCGGACCUUGCGCUAAUAGAUGAGCCUAAGUCGGAUUAGCUAGUUGGUGGGGUAAAGGCCUACCAAGGCGACGAUCUGUAGCGGGUCUGAGAGGAUGAUCCGCCACACUGAGACUGAGACACGGCCCAGACUCCUACGGGAGGCAGCAGUGGGGAAUAUUGGACAAUGGGGGGAACCCUGAUCCAGCCACGCCGCGUGUGUGAAGAAGGCCUUAUGGUUGUAAAGCACUUUAAGCGAGGAGGAGGCUACUCUAGUUAAUACCUAGGGAUAGUGGACGUUACUCGCAGAAUAAGCACCGGCUAACUCUGUGCCAGCAGCCGCAGUAA
RNAcentral lists this ribosomal RNA (501 nucleotides) under uncultured bacterium. RNAcentral's name for it is "partial 16S ribosomal RNA". It matches the Rfam family "Bacterial small subunit ribosomal RNA", at positions 30 to 523 of the family's 1533-position model. The record is from RNAcentral.